CAUGCCUAAAAUCAAAUAACAAAACAACAUCUGAUCGGGCAACAACUAAAAUCCUAGGAUGCCAAUUGAACUCAAUACCAACCAUUUAUAAUUCUCUGCACCACUCGAAUCAUCCCAUAAAACUCUAAGUUUACUCCUUUUAACAUAGCCAUUGAGUUUCUGACAAUUAACAUAAGAAACUAAAUCAAACAAGAAUAGUGCACCAUUUUUUAACAAAACCACACUUGUUUUAGUUGUGUGGACUGCAACAAUC
This 253-nucleotide long non-coding RNA is filed under the name Gossypium barbadense (sea-island cotton). RNAcentral describes it as "long non-coding RNA (GBAR_LNC001188)". Lineage: Eukaryota; Viridiplantae; Streptophyta; Magnoliopsida; Malvales; Malvaceae. The record is from RNAcentral.